AUACGUAGGUGGCAAGCGUUGUCCGGAUUUACUGGGUGUAAAGGGCGUGUAGGCGGAGAUGCAAGUCAGGAGUGAAAUCUAGGGGCUCAACCCCUAAACUGCUUUUGAAACUGUAUCCCUUGAGUAUCGGAGAGGCAGGCGGAAUUCCUAGUGUAGCGGUGAAAUGCGUAAAGAUUAGGAGGAAGCCCAGUGGCGAAGGCGUCCUGCUGGACGACAACUGACGAUGAGGCGCGAAAGCGUGGGGAGCAAACAGGAUUAGAUACCCAGGUAGUCCACGCUGUAAACGAUGAAUACUAGGUGUGGGUGGACUGACCCCCUCCGUGCCGCAGUUAACACAAUAAGUAUUCCACCUGGGGAGUACGAUCGCAAGAUUGAAACUCAAAGGAAUUGGCGGGU
This 396-nucleotide ribosomal RNA is filed under the name uncultured bacterium. RNAcentral describes it as "partial 16S ribosomal RNA". It matches the Rfam family "Bacterial small subunit ribosomal RNA", at positions 523 to 918 of the family's 1533-position model. The record is from RNAcentral.